This 76-nucleotide transfer RNA is filed under the name Nitrospinae bacterium RIFCSPLOWO2_02_FULL_39_110. RNAcentral's name for it is "tRNA-Gly". It matches the Rfam family "tRNA". From Rfam's summary of the family: Transfer RNA (tRNA) molecules are approximately 80 nucleotides in length. Their secondary structure includes four short double-helical elements and three loops (D, anti-codon, and T loops). Further hydrogen bonds mediate the characteristic L-shaped molecular structure. tRNAs have two regions of fundamental functional importance: the anti-codon, which is responsible for specific mRNA codon recognition, and the 3' end, to which the tRNAs corresponding amino acid is attached (by aminoacyl-tRNA synthetases). tRNAs cope with the degeneracy of the genetic code in two manners: having more than one tRNA (with a specific anti-codon) for a particular amino acid; and 'wobble' base-pairing, i.e. permitting non-standard base-pairing at the 3rd anti-codon position. Lineage: Bacteria; Pseudomonadati; Nitrospinota. The record is from RNAcentral. RNAcentral also lists the same sequence under 3 other names.
GCGGGCGUAGCUCAGUUGGUAGAGUGUCAGCUUCCCAAGCUGGAUGUCGCGGGUUCGAGUCCCGUCGCCCGCUCCA